Molecule: ribosomal RNA, 383 nt
Filed under: Cryptotermes domesticus
Lineage: Eukaryota; Metazoa; Arthropoda; Insecta; Blattodea; Kalotermitidae
Description: partial large subunit ribosomal RNA
Source: RNAcentral
CGCUUCUUGUUGUAUUAAUUUGAAGUAUGGCCUGCCCACUGAUAGUUAUUGAAGGGCCGCGGUAUUUUGACCGUGCAAAGGUAGCAUAAUCAUUAGUUUUUUAAUUGUGGACUGGUAUGAAUGGUUUGACGAAAUGCUAGCUGUCUUUGGUUUGCGAUAUAUUGAAUUUGUUGUUUGGGUAAAAAUACCUAAAUUUUUUUAUGGGACGAGAAGACCCUAUAGAGUUUUAUAUAAUGUAUUUCUUUUUGGUUUGUUUUUGUUUUUGUUGGGUAUAUUAUAUUUUGUUGGGGUGAUGGGAGGAUAAAUAUAACUCUUCUUUGUGUUUUUCACUUAUUUGUGUUUUUGUGAUCCUUAAUGUUGAUUUUAAGAUCAAGUUACCUUAG